Molecule: long non-coding RNA, 825 nt
Filed under: Corvus moneduloides (New Caledonian crow)
Lineage: Eukaryota; Metazoa; Chordata; Aves; Passeriformes; Corvidae
Description: lncRNA (ENSCMUG00000018402.1)
Source: RNAcentral
GCGGGGGUGGCCGAGGAGCGGCGGCGGCGUGAACGCGGCUGCACAGCCCCAGCGAGUCGCGGGAGCGGGAGCGCCGCGCCCGCCGCAGCCGCCGGAGCCGGGCGAGGAGCGAGCGCGGCCGCCCGGAGCCGCCGGGAGCAGGCUCGGGCCGCGGCAGCCCCGCGGGGAGGCAGCGAGGGGCCCCUCGCCGAAAGCGCGAACACCCCCCACACCCCCGCCCCGCCGCCUCCGCCCGCCCCCAGCGAAGAGAAACAAAACACAACCCCGGCACUGCCACGCUCUCCCUCCUUCUCCUCUCGGCAUUUGGUGGUUGUUUUUUUUAUUUUUUUUUUUCUUUUUAAUUUUUUUUUUCUUGGGGAUUCUCCUCUCUCCUGCCAGACUGACUUACACGUUCUUGAUAAUUUCUCUUCCCCUCAUUUUUUUUUAUACUCUUCUCCCUGCUUCCAAACCCUGUGUCUGUGUGUUUCAAUACUAUCACAACCUCUGCUAAAAAUAGAUCUUUUUAUACCCUUCCUCCUCUCUGACCCCAUCCAACACCCCUUGUUAAGGUAACUAUCUUACAGACAGAGCAAGAAAAGUAAAUUCACUUGGCUGUUCCAUAUCUCUGAGGAACCUGAUGCAUGAGUGGACUAGAGAAGAGAAAGACAGAAAAACUCCAAAGACCUACAGAUCAUCUGGCUGGCAGGGUGAGUAAAUGUCCUGUCAUCUCAGUCAUGUGUUGUCAGGCACACAAUGAGCGAGCCUGCUUUAAUCAUUGCUUCAGAAAUUACUUACUGAGUAAUUGUGGAGAAAAAAUAAGAUUAAAAUAUGUUGUGUUUUCAGGAC